This 547-nucleotide ribosomal RNA is filed under the name uncultured bacterium. RNAcentral describes it as "bacterial SSU rRNA". It matches the Rfam family "Bacterial small subunit ribosomal RNA", at positions 355 to 896 of the family's 1533-position model. The record is from RNAcentral.
UGGGGAAUAUUGCGCAAUGGGGGGAACCCUGACGCAGCCAUGCCGCGUGAAUGAAGAAGGCCUUAGGGUUGUAAAGUUCUUUCGGUAUUGAGGAAGGUUGAUGUGUUAAUAGCACAUCAAAUUGACGUUAAAUACAGAAGAAGCACCGGCUAACUCCGUGCCAGCAGCCGCGGUAAUACGGAGGGUGCGAGCGUUAAUCGGAAUAACUGGGCGUAAAGGGCACGCAGGCGGUUAUUUAAGUGAGGUGUGAAAGCCCUGGGCUUAACCUAGGAAUUGCAUUUCAGACUGGGUAACUAGAGUACUUUAGGGAGGGGUAGAAUUCCACGUGUAGCGGUGAAAUGCGUAGAGAUGUGGAGGAAUACCGAAGGCGAAGGCAGCCCCUUGGGAAUGUACUGACGCUCAUGUGCGAAAGCGUGGGGAGCAGACAGGAUUAGAUACCCUGGUAGUCCACGCUGUAAACGCUGUCGAUUUGGGGGUUGGGGUUUAACUCUGGCGCCCGUAGCUAACGUGAUAAAUCGACCGCCUGGGGAGUACGGCCGCAAGGUUA